This 251-nucleotide ribosomal RNA is filed under the name uncultured prokaryote. Its description in RNAcentral is "partial 16S rRNA". It matches the Rfam family "Bacterial small subunit ribosomal RNA", at positions 525 to 775 of the family's 1533-position model. The record is from RNAcentral.
ACGGAGGAUGCAAGCGUUAUCCGGAUUCAUUGGGUUUAAAGGGUGCGCAGGCGGAUUGGUAAGUCAGUGGUGAAAUUCAACGGCUCAACUGUUGAUCUGCCAUUGAUACUGUCAGUCUAGAGUAUAGUUGGAGUGGGCGGAAUGUGUCAUGGGGCGGUGACAUGGUUAGAUAUGACACACAACACCGAUCGCGAAGGAAGUUCACUAAGCUAAAACUGGCGUUCAUGCACGAGAGCGUGUGGAUGAAACAG